This is a long non-coding RNA of Daphnia pulicaria, 1600 nucleotides long. RefSeq lists it as uncharacterized. The record is from RefSeq and is a predicted model, not a curated record. The transcript has 5 exons. NCBI's taxonomy places the organism in Eukaryota, Metazoa, Arthropoda, Branchiopoda, Diplostraca, Daphniidae.
GUCUGCUGGCUCUCAAUCUGCACAUGGUGCAUUGGUGCUCUGCAUAUCCAUAAAGACCAUAAAUCCAUAUCAUCAAAAUUCAAAAGGAAGAAAUUCACGUGUCACGUCGGGCGUUGACUCGAAAGAAUCGAAGUGAUAGAUUCUCUAACUUUUUGCUUGAAACUGCAACAUAUUUGCAUUAAGACAAACUGGUAGAAAAUAAUUUGAGCGAUUAAAGUGACGGAAGUCACUUAAUUAACUUGAUUGGUUUCUAAAUGUAAUUUUCAGAAACAAGCUUCAUGGCAAAAAGACACACUGAUUUGGCCUUGGUCAAAUCAUCUGAUCACAUGGCUUGUUGGCUUGACUGCCGUCCAUUUUACCACAUUUCUAUGUGUACCAGAUGUAUGUCUCAUCUGAUGCUGAAAUAGGCCUACUUUACAGAAGAAGUUUCACAGCCAGUUGAAGUCUGAGUUUCAGCAGUGCUAUCUAACAUGCUCAUGGAUUUGUUGCAUCUUCAUUGAAGUCCAAUGUGGACAUGGCUUUGUUGCAGCCAGCUGGUGAAAGGUGUUCUUGCUGGCUUGCUACCCGUACCAGCUAUAGCUUUUGCCACAUACAGAAACACUAAAGAACGAUAGCUAAGCUGAAAAAAUUUUUACAGUAAGGUUACACAUUUACUUUGUUGAUGACUAGUUCUUUGCUUUGUGUAUGUUGACUUUUAGUUAAGACUUAAGACUGUUUCAAAAGCUUGCCAACUGUCAAUUACUUUGUUACAUUUCUAAAAGAAAUUCUGAGGGAUUGCUUAGUUUAACUUUACUUCUGCCAUUUUGUUAUUGUUACAAGACUUAAUUGCUUGAUAGUAAUUUAUUUAUUUUUUAGUUAGGAUUAACAGUCAUUUGAAUUCUUGGCUUAACCUAUUUCUUCACUGCAUUCUAAUGUGGAUUUGUUAAGCCAGCUAGUUAAUUUACGUCAUACAAUCAUGCAAUAUUCUUAAAGGCACCUUUUUAAAAAUCUAACUUCAGCAAUCUAUUUGUAUCCAAUUGUUUAGGCUGCAUGGAAUUCUCAUUUCCCUUUGAUGUGAACUUCAAUCACAUACACUAAUUAAAGGUUUACGUUCCCAGAGUUGCUGCCUAAUGUGGCGUGUUGUUCCCGCCUAUGCCGAUGAAAGAUAUUUUUUCUUCAAGUUGAAAUGUGGCUGUUCGUUGGUGCUGGCGUCGUGUAGCGGAAGUUGCAUCCUGUAUUUUGUUCAAUUGUACAAGUGUCUUUAUCGUUUUUAUGUUGAGAAGUAACAGAAAUAUGGGGAGUUUUUACGUUAAAUAAAUAAUAAAUAUUUUCGGGAUUAGGAAAACACCAAGGAGGAAGAUGGUGGGGGUUGAUGACUUAAAUUGAAAUGCUAAUUAGUAGUGACGUGAAAUUUAGUGUUGACACUCUUAUUAACCCAUAACCCAACAUAAAUUCAGAUAUCUAUAGAUCUAGAUUAUCUCUAUAACCCAUCCCUCUCACUCCUCUAAUACUCAUACCUCUAAUAUCCAAACUCCUAAUACACAUACUUUUUAAUCUCAUACCUAAUUAAUGUACAUAUGUAACAUAAAUUUAUAUAAUAAACAAAAAUUCAUGAAAAUAA